Molecule: small nuclear RNA, 105 nt
Organism: Hyaena hyaena (striped hyena)
Lineage: Eukaryota; Metazoa; Chordata; Mammalia; Carnivora; Hyaenidae
Source: RefSeq, a predicted model, not a curated record
GUGCUUGCUUUGUAGCACAUAUACUAAAUAAGAACAAUACAGAGAAGAUGAGAAUGGCCCCUGUGCAUGGAUGACAUGCGAACAUGUGAAUUGUUCCAUAUUUAA